AACGAACGCUGGCGGCAGGCCAAACACAUGCAAGUCGAACGGACCCUUCGGGGUUAGUGGCGCACGGGUGCGGAACACGUGGGAAUGUACCCUCUGGUAAGGAAUAAUGUCUGGAAACGGACACUAAUACCUUAUAAUGACUUCGGUCCAAAGAUUUAUCGCCAGAGGAUCAGCCCGCGCAUGAUUAGUUUGUUGGUGAGGUAAUGGCUCACCAAGACGACGAUCAUUAGCUGGUCUGAGAGGACGAUCAGCCACACUGGUACUGAGACACGGACCAG
This 278-nucleotide ribosomal RNA is filed under the name uncultured bacterium. Its description in RNAcentral is "partial 16S ribosomal RNA". It matches the Rfam family "Bacterial small subunit ribosomal RNA", at positions 29 to 334 of the family's 1533-position model. The record is from RNAcentral.